RNAcentral lists this ribosomal RNA (468 nucleotides) under uncultured bacterium. Its description in RNAcentral is "partial 16S ribosomal RNA". It matches the Rfam family "Bacterial small subunit ribosomal RNA", at positions 28 to 507 of the family's 1533-position model. The record is from RNAcentral.
GGCGAACGCUGGCGGCGUGCUUAACACAUGCAAGUCGAACGGAAAGGCCCUGAGUUUGUGGGGUGCUCGAGUGGCAAACGGGUGAGUAACACGUGAGUAACCUGAUCUAGACUUUGGGGUAACUUCAGGAAGCUGGAGCUACUACCAGAUAGCAGCUGCUGUACGAUGGAGGGCGGUGGAACGUCUAGGCUGUUGUGGUUGGAUUCGCGGGUAAUCAGCUAGUUGGUGGGGUAGUGGUAUACCAACGCAUUGACGGGUAGGCGGCAUGAGAGGGUGGCCGGCCACAUUGGGCCUGAGAGACGGACCAGAGUCCUACGGUGGGCAGCAGUGGGGAAUAUUGCACAGUGGUAGGACGCCUGUGGCAGCAACGCUGCGUUCGUGAUGACGGCCUUCUGGUUGUAAACAGCAUUCGCCUGUGACGAAGCGUGAGUGACGGUAAUGGGUAAAGAAGCACCGGCUAACUACGUG